Molecule: long non-coding RNA, 1873 nt
Organism: Hemibagrus wyckioides
Lineage: Eukaryota; Metazoa; Chordata; Actinopteri; Siluriformes; Bagridae
Exons: 3
Source: RefSeq, a predicted model, not a curated record
AAAGUGUCAUGAAGCAAACACAGACAGAGGGCAACACUGAGGGGAAACUCCUUUGUUCCUUUUCCAAACUGCUAACUUUUUUCCCCUAUUGGGAAGCGUGCAGGGGAAGUUAAAGGAUGACAGACCCUUUUUCGCUUCAAAGUACUAAUACGUUCCAUACCUCAGAGUUGCUUACAUCAUUAAUCAGCGGGAUGGCUGUGCUUGAUGGUGGACGUAAGCUGGAAAAAAUCCACGGACUAACAGAGAUUUAGGGUUAGUGCUUCUCUAACUCAACACCUUGAUGACACGGGCAGCUGGGGUGCAGAUUAAUCCCGGCCGAGGCUCCCAGAGAGGGCGGUAAUGGAGACUCAAGCAAACAAUUCAUUCAUUGAACACGGCAGCUCUGAAACAGAAGUACAACACUCAAGUCUCCAGAUGAACUAUAGCAGAUUCUCCAAGAUUCUCAGGUAAACUUUAUUUCUUCAUGCAAUUGCACAAAGUUUACCUUUGACUACUGAUGAAUUUUUCUUUAGAUUGCCUUUUCUUUAAAUUGCUGUUUGUUUGUUACUGUUAACUGCUCUUCAUAGUAUACUUUAUGUAGACUUUUUGAAAGGCAUUUUUUGCCAUAUUUUUCUUUUGCACAGCACUUAACUUUGGUAUCUCUUUAUAAAAGGGGUGUUUAGUUUUGUACCUCCAAACAAAAUAUUUUUGGUCCAAAUUUAUUUGGUUCUUUUUAGUGCCUAGUCCUGAUGCACAAAUGUAGCCUCAACCAAAUCUCUAUGGGAAAAUUUCUUGUUUACAUAUAUCUGUUUUUUUGUUGUUGUUUUUAAAUCUAUUUAGAAGACAUUACCUGUCUUUCGAUAAUUGAUAAUAAUGAAUUGCUAUGUGGUUCCUUUCCUAAUUCCUGCUUUAUUUAUAAUAGCUUUAAAAAAAUUAGCAUAUCAUGUUAAAGGACAUGAUGUAAAGUGGAGUUUUGCCCUUUUAAAUGAACAAAAACCACAACACAUGUAUGUAUAUAUAAAAUGCAGGAUGACACACUGCCAGUUCUGUAUGCCUAAUGCUUUAGUUGCACGGCCAAUUUUUAAGUGGUAAUUAAUUUGUUGGGAAAAUAAUAGCAUGUUAUUUUUCUCAAGAUAGGAUCAGCUGCAAAUCCCGUGAAAGGAGCAAGGAGAGGGCAUUUUGGGAUCCAGACUUUGGCUGAUGAAACAUCAUAAUUAACUGAGCAAUUCAUAAACUUGCAUUAGGAUAUUAAGGAUCAGGGUAUUAAUGAGUAAUGAGUAUACUGCUUUUGUGUGUCUGUGUGUGUGUGUGUUUAUAAGAGCUCCCAGUCAUGUAUGACAAAAUUUGCCAGCAUGAUCUUUCAGAAACCAGAUCACUUCAAAGACACUAAACAUGAAUAUACUAAUGGCCUUUAUACAACAGUUAGUUCCAGUCAACUAAUUUGUUUAAGCAAGCAGCAAACCAAGGGAGCUUAUAUUUAGUAUAACCACAAUGGAAUGUUUCAGGUUUUGUGUCAUUUUGCUCAUUUGUGUUUUGCCUGUCAAUUACACAAUUAAUACACAUACAAUUCCAAUUCUAGUGAUAGGUCUACACCUACAUUACAGCAUGCAACAUCAUCAAACAUGGCUCCCUAUCAAUCAUGGGGAUGUUAGCAAAUCUGUGAGGGCAUACAUGUGAAAGUGGACAGAGAGAGCUGUCUUUCUUGUGUGUUACGCCACGAUGUUGUAUGAGCAGCAGUUCAAAAAUGAUGUGGUCUGCUGGCUUCACAUGCUUCUUCCAAAGACGUCUCUCCUUGGUAGCUGUCACAUAAUAAGAAAAAGCCCCUUUAACAUAAAAGUACAAAUCUAUAAAGUGAUUAUAGGGAUCUAUAUCCUGUAACGGAGCAAGAACAAAA